This is a non-coding RNA of Canis lupus familiaris (dog), 145 nucleotides long. Lineage: Eukaryota; Metazoa; Chordata; Mammalia; Carnivora; Canidae. The record is from RefSeq and is marked provisional.
CACAGCUACGGUUCCAGGAGCUUGAGGUGGAAGAUGCCCAUCCCAGGACAUGAGUGUAGGACACAGACCAGUGCUGUCCAAGCACGUAUUCUGAUGGGCCACAGGGCGUUCUCCACAACUCUGUUCAUAUACAUAAAGAUGGCCA